AUACGUAGGGUGCGAGCGUUGUCCGGAAUUACUGGGCGUAAAGAGCUCGUAGGUGGUUUGUCGCGUCGUCUGUGAAAUUCCGGGGCUUAACUCCGGGCGUGCAGGCGAUACGGGCAUAACUUGAGUACUGUAGGGGAGACUGGAAUUCCUGGUGUAGCGGUGAAAUGCGUAGAUAUCAGGAGGGACACCGGUGGCGAAGGCGGGUUUCAGGGAUGACACUGGCACUGAGGGGCGUAAGCAUGGGGAGCGAAAGGGAUGAUUUACCCGGAUAGUCAAUGCCGUGACCGGGGGGCGCUCGGUGUAGGGGCCUUCCACGCCUUCUGGGCCGUAGCUAACGCAUUAAGCGCCACGCCUGGGGAGUACGGCCGCAAGGCUAAAACUCAAAUGAAUUGACUGGG
This 398-nucleotide ribosomal RNA is filed under the name uncultured bacterium. RNAcentral describes it as "partial 16S ribosomal RNA". It matches the Rfam family "Bacterial small subunit ribosomal RNA", at positions 523 to 918 of the family's 1533-position model. The record is from RNAcentral.